This 216-nucleotide ribosomal RNA is filed under the name uncultured bacterium. Its description in RNAcentral is "partial 16S ribosomal RNA". It matches the Rfam family "Bacterial small subunit ribosomal RNA", at positions 326 to 539 of the family's 1533-position model. The record is from RNAcentral.
ACGCUCGACAUAGGCAGCAGUAGGGAAUCUUCCACAAUGGACGCAAGUCUGAUGGAGCAACGCCGCGUGAGUGAAGAAGGUUUUCGGAUCGUAAAGCUCUGUUGUUGGUGAAGAAGGAUAGAGGUAGUAACUGGCCUUUAUUUGACGGUAAUCAACCAGAAAGUCACGGCUAACUACGUGCUAGCAGCCGCGGUAAUCUGAGCGGGCUGGCAAGGC